This 468-nucleotide ribosomal RNA is filed under the name uncultured bacterium. Its description in RNAcentral is "partial 16S ribosomal RNA". It matches the Rfam family "Bacterial small subunit ribosomal RNA", at positions 28 to 507 of the family's 1533-position model. The record is from RNAcentral.
GACGAACGCUGGCGGCGUGCUUAACACAUGCAAGUCGAACGGAAAGGCCCUGCUUUUGUGGGGUGCUCGAGUGGCGAACGGGUGAGUACCACGUGAGUAACCUGCCCUUGACUUUGGGAUAACUUCAGGAAACUGGGGCUAAUACCGGAUAGGAGCUCCUGCUGCAUGGUGGGGGUUGGAAAGUUUCGGCGGUUGGGGAUAGACUCGCGGCUUAUCAGCUUGUUGGUGGGGUAGUGGCUUACCAAGGCUUUGACGGGUAGCCGGCCUGCGAGGGUGACCGGCCACAUUGGGACUGAGAUGCGGCCCAGACUCCUACGGGAGGCAGCAGUGGGGAAGAGUGCACAAUGGACGGAGGCCUGAUGCAGCAACGCCGCGUGCGGGAUGACGGCCUUCGGGUUGUAAACCGCUUUCGCCUGUGACGAAGCGUGAGUGACGGUAAUGGGUAAAGAAGCACCGGCUAACUACGUG